CUCUUCUUGAAAUUUUUAAGAGUAUUACCUGCCCAAUGAUAAAAUUUAAUGGCCGCGGUAUUUUGACCGUGCAAAGGUAGCAUAAUCAUUAGUCUUUUAAUUGAAGGCUGGAAUGAAUGGUAGGACGAGAUAAUUACUGUCUUAUUAAUAUUAGAUUGAACUUAAUUAUUAAGUAAAAAAGCUUAAAUAUUUUUAUGGGACGAGAAGACCCUAUAGAGUUUGAUAUUUGUUUAUAUAGAAUUAUGGGUAAUAUUAGUUAUUAUUUAUAAAUAUUUUGUUGGGGUGACAGGAAGAUAAAUGUAACUCUUUUUAUAAAAUGAUUACAAAUUUGUAUAUUUUUGAUCCAUAAAAUUAUGAUUAUAAGACUAAAUUACCUUAGGGAUAACAGCGUAAUCUUUUCUGAGAGUUCUAAUCGAGGAGAAGGAUUGCGACCUCGAUGUUGGAUUUAAGAUAAAUCUUGGGUGUUAGUGGUUCAGGAAUUAAGGUCUGUUCGACCUUUAAAUUCUUACA
This 510-nucleotide ribosomal RNA is filed under the name Henschoutedenia sp. G72. RNAcentral's name for it is "partial 16S ribosomal RNA". It matches the Rfam family "Archaeal large subunit ribosomal RNA", at positions 1911 to 2669 of the family's 2987-position model. Lineage: Eukaryota; Metazoa; Arthropoda; Insecta; Blattodea; Blaberidae. The record is from RNAcentral.